This 253-nucleotide ribosomal RNA is filed under the name uncultured bacterium. RNAcentral describes it as "partial 16S ribosomal RNA". It matches the Rfam family "Bacterial small subunit ribosomal RNA", at positions 524 to 776 of the family's 1533-position model. The record is from RNAcentral.
UACGUAGGGUGCGAGCGUUGUCCGGAAUUAUUGGGCGUAAAGAGCUCGUAGGCGGCUUGUCGCGUCUGCCGUGAAAGUCCGGGGCUCAACUCCGGAUCUGCGGUGGGUACGGGCAGACUAGAGUGAUGUAGGGGAGACUGGAAUUCCUGGUGUAGCGGUGAAAUGCGCAGAUAUCAGGAGGAACACCGAUGGCGAAGGCAGAUCUCUGGGCCGUAACUGACGCUGAGGAGCGAAAGCAUGGGGAGCGAACAGG